This 1434-nucleotide ribosomal RNA is filed under the name metagenome. Its description in RNAcentral is "bacterial LSU rRNA". It matches the Rfam family "Bacterial large subunit ribosomal RNA", at positions 1466 to 2925 of the family's 2925-position model. The record is from RNAcentral.
GUGGGGACGCAUGUGGAGAGCACGAGCCGGGAAUGGAAAUACCGGUACAAGCGGAGAAGGAGUCUGGUUGGCAAAUCCGCCAGGCAAUCCGAAGACGUGAUGUGGAGCGAAUUAGAGUAGCGAAGCGUGUGAGCCAUGUGCCGAGAAAAGCCGCUAUUGUUUCAUGUGUGCCCGUACCGUAAACCGACACAGGUGGAUGAGGAGAGAAUCCUAAGGCCGGCGGAAGAAGCAUUGUUAAGGAACUCGGCAAAAUGACCCCGUAACUUCGGGAGAAGGGGUGCCUGCAAACGCAGGCCGCAGAGAAUAGGCUCAAGCAACUGUUUAGCAAAAACACAGGUCUAUGCGAAACCGAAAGGUGAAGUAUAUGGGCUGACGCCUGCCCGGUGCUGGAAGGUUAAGAGGAGAGGUUAGCGCAAGCGAAGCUUUGAAUUUAAGCCCCAGUAAACGGCGGCCGUAACAAUAACGGUCCUAAGGUAGCGAAAUUCCUUGUCGGGUAAGUUCCGACCCGCACGAAAGGCGUAAUGAUUUGAGCACUGUCUCGACAAUGCAUCCGGUGAAAUUGAAGUACCAGUGAAGAUGCUGGUUACCCGCGCCAGGACGGAAAGACCCCAUGGAGCUUUACUCCAGUUUGGUACUGGGAUUCUACUGCAUGUACAGGAUAGGUGGGAGACUAAGAACUUGGGACGCCAGUUUCAAGGGAGUCGCUGUUGGGAUACCACCCUUGCAGUAUUGGAUUUCUAACCAGCCGCCGUGAUCCGGCGGUGGGACAAUGCCAGGCGGGGAGUUUGACUGGGGCGGUCGCCUCCGAAAGGGUAUCGGAGGCGCUCAAAGGUUCCCUCAGAAUGGUUGGAAACCAUUUGAAGAGUGCAAAGGCAGAAGGGAGCUUGACUGCGACACCGACGGGUGGAGCAGGUAGGAAAUUAGGACUUAGUGAUCCGGUGGCAUAAAGUGGGAUUGCCAUCGCUCAACGGAUAAAAGCUACCCUGGGAUAACAGGCUUAUCACUCCCAAGAGUUCACAUCGACGGAGUGGUUUGGCACCUCGAUGUCGGCUCAUCGCAUCCUGGGGCUGUAGCAGGUCCCAAGGGUUGGGCUGUUCGCCCAUUAAAGCGGUACGCGAGCUGGGUUCAGAACGUCGUGAGACAGUUCGGUCCCUAUCCGGCGCGGGCGGAGGAUAUUUGAGAGGAGCUGUCCUUAGUACGAGAGGACCGGGAUGGACGGACCACUGGUGUAUCUGCUGUCGACCAACGGCAUGGCAGAGUAGCCAAGUCCGGAAGGGAUAAACGCUGAAGGCAUCUAAGCGUGAAGCCCCCCCAAGAUGAGAUAUCCCUCACAUAAGUGAGUAAGAUCCCUUGAAGACUACAAGGUAGAUAGGGCAGAGGUGGAAGCACGGUAACGUGUGGAGCUGACUGUUACUAAUCGAUCGAGGGCUUGAC